GACCAUCAGAAGACAUGUUUGGCAGUACAAGAUCUUAUUGUUGCACCUGUAUUCCUAUUUAGGUGCACUUUCGUCGGCUUAUGAAUGGUAUAAAUUGUUGGAUGUAAAAAAUAUCCUGGCGGAAACUGUUUCCCACCACAUUUUACCCCAGAUGUUGGUAUCUCCUCUUUGGGUAGAUCUAAGCAAUCUUUUAAAGGACUACUUGAAGUUUAUGGAUGAC
Molecule: unclassified non-coding RNA, 220 nt
Filed under: Hevea brasiliensis (rubber tree)
Lineage: Eukaryota; Viridiplantae; Streptophyta; Magnoliopsida; Malpighiales; Euphorbiaceae
Source: RNAcentral